This 1247-nucleotide ribosomal RNA is filed under the name Pirkimerus japonicus. RNAcentral's name for it is "16S ribosomal RNA". The stretch from base 1006 to 1164 matches the Rfam family "Archaeal large subunit ribosomal RNA", at positions 2542 to 2701 of the family's 2987-position model. The record is from RNAcentral. Lineage: Eukaryota; Metazoa; Arthropoda; Insecta; Hemiptera; Blissidae.
AUAGUUUAAUUUUUAUUUAUCUUUUAUUUACUUUUUAUAGAAGUAACUUAAAUAUUUAGUAUUUUUUAUUGAAAUAUUUAUAAUUAUUAUAGUUUAAUGUACUGUAGAGGAAUAAAUUAAAUUUAUUAAAAUUAUUUUAUAUUAAAGUACCUUUUGUAUCAGGGUUUAUUAAAAUUGGUUUAAUAAUAUUAAAUUUCUCGAAAUUAAAAGAGUUAAAUUAAAAUGUUAGUUUAUGUAAUAUAAUGAUUAAUAAUUUUAAUUUAGGGGUUAUAUACUAUUCAAUUUUAAAUAUCUAGUUUUUUAAUAAAUGAAUUUAAUUCAGGUUUAUAUUGAUUGAAAUUUUAUUUUAUUAAUUACAAUGAUAUAAUCUAAGAAUAGAGGGGAUUAGCUCUCUAUUUAAGAAUAUAAUUUAAAAUAUUAAUGAGUUUAGUAAGAUUAAAAAUUUCUAUCUAUUAAUUUCAUUAUAGUUUUUCUCAUAUUAUUAUUUAUUUACAUUUUAUUUAUUAUUUUAUUAAAAUUAUUUAUUUAACUAUUAAUUAAAUGUAAUAAUGAUAAAAUUAGUAGUUUAACAAUUUAAAAUAUAGUAAUUCGGCAAUAUUAAUAUUCGCCUGUUUAACAAAAACAUGUCCUGUAGAUUCAAUUAUAGGUUUAACCUGCUCAAUGAUAAUUUAAAUAGCUGCAGUAUCUUAACUGUACAAAGGUAGCAUAAUAAUUUGUCUUUUAAUUAGAGGCUGGUAUGAAUGGUUGGACGAAAUAUUAACUUUCUUUAUUUUAGAUUUAUUGAAUUUAAUUUUUAGGUAAAAAAGCUUAAAUUUUCUUGUAAGACGAGAAGACCCUAUAGAAUUUUAUUUUAUUUUAUUUACUUAAUUUUAUUUAUUAUUAUUUAUUUAAGUUAAGAUUUGAUUGGGGUGAUUAUGAAAUUAAAAUAACUUUCAUUAAAAUUAUUCAUUUAUUAAUGUAUUUAAUGAUCCAAUAUUAUUGAUUAAAAGAUUAAAUUACCUUAGGGAUAACAGCGUAAUUCUUUUGGAGAGUUCAAAUUGAUAAUAGAGUUUGCGACCUCGAUGUUGGAUUAAAAUUAAUUAUGGAUGCAGAUGUUUAUAUAUUAGGUCUGUUCGACCUUUAAAAUUUUACAUGAUCUGAGUUCAGACCGGCGUGAGCCAGGUUGGUUUCUAUCUACAGAAGUAUAUAAUAAUAUAGUACGAAAGGACCUAUUAUUGUUAAUAUUUAUUUUAUUUAUGAUUUAUAUU